UAUAUUAUUUGCACGUGGUCAUCUGAGUUCACAGAAUUUUGGAAUCUUGUGUGAUACUAUUAGCAUUACCAAACAGUUGGGUCUUUUACCGAAGAUUAAAGAAAAACUGCCAUCAUUCCCAGAUGUUGAUGAAGGAACCAUUUCAACAAAAUUUACACCUCACAGACAAAAUCUAAUAAAAUUUGGAAUGGCACUAACCCCAGACGAUGUAACGCUGAUCGAUCAAUUAUAUAAUACACCUUGUAAGAAGUAUACUGACGGCUGGAGUAUGAUCACAGAUCUAGAAAACAGACUGAAAAUCAGCAAAGGAAAAAUGGAGGAAUUCAUUGGUUCGUUGGAAACCCUUAAUCUGCCACUGGCAAUUAAUGCGCUAACAGAAGGUCUGUAGGUCUAAUCUGCAAAUACUGUUUGGACAUCUGUGCCUCUUCUCAACUGAACGAAGGAUUUUCAGGUUAUGUUGAUGCAAUUAUCGAAUUCAUUACUGUACGAUGACCACAACAAUUAUUGUACAAACAUCAAAUAAAGAUGGCAGUGAUCUGCUAAGAUUCACGACCACUGUUAGUGGCCAGUGGUUCAAAGAUACAGGAAAUGCGUUCAGAUCAUGCAAAUUUCAACCCCUGUUGUCAAAGGGAUAUUUCAGAAAGUGGCACGCACUCAUGAUGACAGGGAAGUAUGAAGAAGCUCUGAUGUCGUUACUUCAGGGACUAUCGCUUGACCCCAAUGUCACCAGCGCUAAAACAACACUGGCUCAGGUUUUAACCAAUCAGUAAACAGAGGGAGUACAGGUAGUAACCAAUCAGGUGACAGAGUGAGUGCAAGUAGUAACCAAUCAGGUGACAGAGGGAGUUCGAGUAUAGCCAAUCAGGUGACAGAGGGAGUUCGAGUAGUAACCAAUCAAUUGAAGGAGAAAGUGCGAGUAGUAACACUAGCAACCAAAGCUCUUCCACAGAUGUAUGCUCCAGGGUGAGCGAGAGCUUAGCUUCUAAAUCAGGAAGCAAUUCCGAAGACACUUACUGUAAAGAUGAAGUAAAAACCAAAGAUGCCUUUGAUAUUGGUGCAGUGUGCGCUCAAAAGAAACGAAAGCAUUCUGACCCCACUACUGG
Molecule: long non-coding RNA, 1103 nt
Organism: Anneissia japonica
Lineage: Eukaryota; Metazoa; Echinodermata; Crinoidea; Comatulida; Comatulidae
Exons: 7
Source: RefSeq, a predicted model, not a curated record